RNAcentral lists this transfer RNA (77 nucleotides) under Puniceicoccales bacterium. RNAcentral's name for it is "tRNA-Pro". It matches the Rfam family "tRNA". From Rfam's summary of the family: Transfer RNA (tRNA) molecules are approximately 80 nucleotides in length. Their secondary structure includes four short double-helical elements and three loops (D, anti-codon, and T loops). Further hydrogen bonds mediate the characteristic L-shaped molecular structure. tRNAs have two regions of fundamental functional importance: the anti-codon, which is responsible for specific mRNA codon recognition, and the 3' end, to which the tRNAs corresponding amino acid is attached (by aminoacyl-tRNA synthetases). tRNAs cope with the degeneracy of the genetic code in two manners: having more than one tRNA (with a specific anti-codon) for a particular amino acid; and 'wobble' base-pairing, i.e. permitting non-standard base-pairing at the 3rd anti-codon position. Lineage: Bacteria; Pseudomonadati; Verrucomicrobiota; Opitutia; Puniceicoccales. The record is from RNAcentral.
CGGGUUGUGGCGUAGCCUGGUAGCGCGCCUGCAUGGGGUGCAGGAGGUCAUGAGUUCGAAUCUCAUCAGCCCGACCA